CACACGGAUAACAUACCGAAAGGUAUGCUAAUACGGGAUAAUAUAUUUGAGAGGCAUCUCUUAAAUAUCAAAGGUGAGCCAGUACAGGAUGGACCCGCGUCUGAUUAGCUAGUUGGUAAGGUAACGGCUUACCAAGGCGACGAUCAGUAGCCGACCUGAGAGGGUGAUCGGCCACAUUGGAACUGAGACACGGUCCAAACUCCUACGGGAGGCAGCAGUGGGGAAUAUUGCACAAUGGGCGAAAGCCUGAUGCAGCAACGCCGCGUGAGUGAUGAAGGCCUUCGGGUCGUAAAACUCUGUCCUCAAGGAAGAUAAUGACGGUACUUGAGGAGGAAGCCCCGGCUAACUACGUGCCAGCAGCCGCGGUAAUACGUAGGGGGCUAGCGUUAUCCGGAUUUACUGGGCGUAAAGGGUGCGUAGGCGGUCUUUCAAGUCAGGAGUGAAAGGCUACGGCUCAACCGUAGUAAGCUCUUGAAACUGGGAGACUUGAGUGCAGGAGAGGAGAGUGGAAUUCCUAGUGUAGCGGUGAAAUGCGUAGAUAUUAGGAGGAACACCAGUUGCGAAGGCGGCUCUCUGGACUGUAACUGACGCUGAGGCACGAAAGCGUGGGGAGCAAACAGGAUUAGAUACCCUGGUAGUCCACGCUGUAAACGAUGAGUACUAGGUGUCGGGGGUUACCCCCCUCGGUGCCGCAGCUAACG
This 701-nucleotide ribosomal RNA is filed under the name uncultured bacterium. RNAcentral's name for it is "bacterial SSU rRNA". It matches the Rfam family "Bacterial small subunit ribosomal RNA", at positions 136 to 857 of the family's 1533-position model. The record is from RNAcentral.